UAGCAUUUAGGAAGUGCUUAACUGGUUAAGAUCAAAAAAUCUGAAUUUAACUAGGUCGUCAUGAGUUUGCCAGUGGUAUAUACUUGCAAGCU
RNAcentral lists this small RNA (92 nucleotides) under Prochlorococcus marinus str. MIT 9312. Its description in RNAcentral is "Cyanobacterial functional RNA 20". It matches the Rfam family "Cyanobacterial functional RNA 20". The record is from Rfam by way of RNAcentral. Lineage: Bacteria; Bacillati; Cyanobacteriota; Cyanophyceae; Synechococcales; Prochlorococcaceae.